AAGCUCGUAGUUGAAUUUCGGGGGCAUUCAGGCCAAAGCUCGUCCUUGUGGCGUGGCUGGGUCUGGGCUUCCUACGUUUGGAUAGUGGGCAACCGCUUCCAAUCAUUUACUUUGAAAAAAUUAGAGUGUUCAAAGCAGGCGUAACCUUGCCAUUGAAUAUUACAGCAUGGGAUAAUAGAAUAUGACGUUGGUCUUAUUUUGUUGGUUUCUAAGGCUGAUGUAAUGAUUAAUAGGGAUAGUUGGG
RNAcentral lists this ribosomal RNA (244 nucleotides) under uncultured eukaryote. Its description in RNAcentral is "partial 18S ribosomal RNA". It matches the Rfam family "Eukaryotic small subunit ribosomal RNA", at positions 624 to 886 of the family's 1831-position model. The record is from RNAcentral.